RNAcentral lists this ribosomal RNA (465 nucleotides) under Vreelandella stevensii. RNAcentral's name for it is "partial 16S ribosomal RNA". It matches the Rfam family "Bacterial small subunit ribosomal RNA", at positions 338 to 795 of the family's 1533-position model. The record is from RNAcentral. Lineage: Bacteria; Pseudomonadati; Pseudomonadota; Gammaproteobacteria; Oceanospirillales; Halomonadaceae.
CCUACGGGGGGCUGCAGUGGGGAAUAUUGGACAAUGGGGGGAACCCUGAUCCGGCCAUGCCGCGUGUGUGAAGAAGGCCCUCGGGUUGUAAAGCACUUUCAGUGAGGAAGAACGCCUGGUGGUUAAUACCCAUCAGGAAAGACAUCACUCACAGAAGAAGCACCGGCUAACUCCGUGCCAGCAGCCGCGGUAAUACGGAGGGUGCGAGCGUUAAUCGGAAUUACUGGGCGUAAAGCGCGCGUAGGUGGCUUGAUAAGCCGGUUGUGAAAGCCCCGGGCUCAACCUGGGAACGGCAUCCGGAACUGUCAAGCUAGAGUGCAGGAGAGGAAGGUAGAAUUCCCGGUGUAGCGGUGAAAUGCGUAGAGAUCGGGAGGAAUACCAGUGGCGAAGGCGGCCUUCUGGACUGACACUGACACUGAGGUGCGAAAGCGUGGGUAGCAAACAGGAUUAGAUACCCUAGUAGUC